Molecule: long non-coding RNA, 464 nt
Organism: Suricata suricatta (meerkat)
Lineage: Eukaryota; Metazoa; Chordata; Mammalia; Carnivora; Herpestidae
Exons: 3
Source: RefSeq, a predicted model, not a curated record
UGCACAACACGUGGGGGGCGGGGCUGGCUAGGGCCUUGGUGAGUGGGCGUGACUAUGUAAACUAAGCGCGCGUUGGACGCUGGGUUGAGCUGUGGGGCUUCCCUUAAGACCCCAACAGGAAGAAGUCUACUUUACUACCCCAGCAGGAUGAUUUUCUCUUCACCCAGCAAUAGCGCAGCCAAUGAGACUGCCACAACUCAGCCAACAAGAAACUGUCACUACCUUGAUUUUCCUCCAAUGGACUUUCCUUCAAAGCAACCCCUCCCAACUUCCUCUUUUUCUCUACAAGAUGGGGAAACUGAGGCUGAAGACCAGUACUGUCUUGCCCAGGCAAGCUUCACCCAGGCUCCCGGGUAUCCUAACCUAUGGAAAGUUCUUGAUUUGUUUGUUUUUUUUCCUUCAAUCUAAUUACAGACAGUGGUCAUAGGAUGAAGAUUUUGAAGUAAGAGAGGAAGGUGAAGUUC